AACGAACGCUGGCGGCAUGCCUAACACAUGCAAGUCGAACGAGACCUUCGGGUCUAGUGGCGCACGGGUGCGUAACGCGUGGGAAUCUGCCCUUGGGUUCGGAAUAACAGCGAGAAAUUGCUGCUAAUACCGGAUGAUGACGUAAGUCCAAAGAUUUAUCGCCCAAGGAUGAGCCCGCGUAGGAUUAGCUAGUUGGUGAGGUAAAGGCUCACCAAGGCGACGAUCCUUAGCUGGUCUGAGAGGAUGAUCAGCCACACUGGGACUGAGACACGGCCCAGACUCCUACGGGAGGCAGCAGUGGGGAAUAUUGGACAAUGGGCGAAAGCCUGAUCCAGCAAUGCCGCGUGAGUGAUGAAGGCCUUAGGGUUGUAAAGCUCUUUUACCCGGGGAUGAUAAUGACAGUACCGGGAGAAUAAGCUCCGGCUAACUCCGUGCCAGCAGCCGCGGUAAU
Molecule: ribosomal RNA, 451 nt
Filed under: uncultured bacterium
Lineage: Bacteria
Description: bacterial SSU rRNA
Rfam family: Bacterial small subunit ribosomal RNA
Source: RNAcentral